Molecule: RNA transcript, 1280 nt
Organism: Larimichthys crocea (large yellow croaker)
Lineage: Eukaryota; Metazoa; Chordata; Actinopteri; Sciaenidae
Gene name: GRB10-interacting GYF protein 2-like
Exons: 3
Source: RefSeq, a predicted model, not a curated record
UAACUUAGUAUUGGCACUUUAGUGCUGCAUCACUGUCAACCUUCAGCGCCUGGAAAAUAUCAACAGUCUAUCAAGACUUCAUCCUGCCAGGCGGAUAUGGAAAAACAUCACACCGUAAAGGGCCAGGCAGAGGCCGGGAGAGUGCCCAGGUAUCAAAGGCAACCUCAGGGUUUUAGACAACCUGCUGAGUUCAGAAGAGGGCCUGACCGGAGGAGAACUCCCUGGGUACCACCAGAGCGCCGCACCCCUGUGAGAGAAAUCUCCAACCGAGUUCCUCAGCAGUGUGUGAGUAGUGACACAAAUCUGACCACCGAGCCUAAGGAAGAUGACGAGAUGACACAUUUAGAUGUACUGAAUAUGUCAAGGGGAAAAAAUGAUGGUAUUGUGGUAGAGGCCUCCACCCAGGCCACAACACAAGUCCCUCAGAUUGAGUUUCAGCAACCCAGGGUGAGAGAGACCAAGCAGGCCACCACCCUCAAGACAGAGGGUGAGAAGAAAAUGCAGGCUGAACCCUGCAACGAGGUAGAUGCUUCACCCCAGCAGGCCAUGAUUUAUGUCUCUGAGCUAGAACAUCAGCAGUUCCAGAGACAAAGAGACCGCAUCACUCAACUGAAGAAUGGAAAUGAGGCUUUAGCAGCUGAGAUGGAGCAGUUAAAGAAAAUGCUCCAGAUGAACAAGACUCUUCAUGAUCAGACCGAGCAGAAGAGGAUGGACGAGGUGAAGGACUUGGAGCUUCAGUUUUUAGAGAAGAAAGCCUCUGAAAUUGAAGCUGUCUGUAAAGUCGAGAAACUGAAGAUAACUCUCCAGAGACAGAAGGACAGACGGGUAGAACAAGACGUGCUUCUGGCUCAACAGGAAGUGGACAUCACCAAACUGAAGACUGCACUGAUUCAGACACAGGACGAACUAAAGAGUCAUCAGCUGCGUAGGCAGGAGGAGAGGUCACUCCUCAAUGAAAACCUUAAAGACAUCCAGCACGCCCUGCAGGAGAAAAAAGCUAUGCAGGAAAGAAAACAGCAGAUGAAAAGGGUCGAGAAAUUGCCCUCUCUGGAAAAAGAUUCUCCCAGUUCUUUAAGUAAACUGGAGGCCACCAUAUCCCCCCAAGCAAAUCCCCCAAUGAACAACUCAUCCUCCAUGCCUACCCCCCACCCAAUCAUCACCUCGUCCUAAAAUAUGCCCAACCCUGGUUUUCAUCUGUUUACUCCAAAUUAAAAACAGAGAUAAUGGGCAAUCGCUUAACAUCGUACCCAAAUAUGCCCAACCCUGGUUUUCAUCUGUUU